UACGGGAGGCGACAGUGGGGAAUCUUGCGCAAUGGGGGCAACCCUGUACGCAGCGCCGCCGCGUGUCGUGCUGCAGGUCUUCGGUCUCGUCAAGCUCUUUCGUCUGGGUCCGUCCCGGCCCUGUGGCUUCAUCCCCAUGGGGUCUUGACGGUACCGGAAGCAGCAGCACCGGCUCACUCUGUGCCAGCAGCCGCGGUAAA
This 200-nucleotide ribosomal RNA is filed under the name uncultured bacterium. RNAcentral describes it as "partial 16S ribosomal RNA". It matches the Rfam family "Bacterial small subunit ribosomal RNA", at positions 340 to 524 of the family's 1533-position model. The record is from RNAcentral.